GUGCAGGGGCGCUGGGGCUCCCGGGCCUCCUUAGUUUCCCGGCCCCAGCGUCCAUCCGUGUGGCCUGAAACUUCAGUUUCCUGAGCUUGUCUGGAGAGGGCUGCGCCCAGGUGCCCGGAGGGUCCCGGAGGGGGUCUGCGUUGUGUGUCUUCUACACGUUGCUGUAACCUCGAGGAGCUUUGACGGCCGGCGUGGGCUAACCGGGGCCGUUUGCUCUCGCAGUGGGUUAAACCAUCCACGGAUAAGGCAUAGGAUGAGGUGUCAACGUUUGUUUUGAAGUCUCAGGAUUCUUAAGACGGUGGUUUUCCAAAGAACUGUCCCACCCAGAAUCACUUGCUUAAAUACUUGCGUGAAGUACCAUCCUAAGGCUCAGGCUGUGCAUUUCUGUACCUGGCAGGAGUUUUGCAUUCUGCUCUUAAAAAGACGGGGUUUUGAAGAGCAGCUCAGGACCCCAGGCCCAGGGCACUGUCACCAUGAUGGUGCAGGGGUCACCCGAUCUUAGCUCUUCUCCCUGAACAAGUGGCGUGACCCUGGGUGCCCAGCGUAGGGGUGGGUGGGGGCAGGGCAGCACGGUGGGCCUAGGUGGCCAGCCACCCUCCCAGCCUCUUCCCUGCACCCCCCUAGCAGGGCCAGCCUGCCUCUCCGGGCCUGCAUGUGCUGGUGCUGGGAAGCCCUGGCCAGAGGCUGAUGUGAGCGUGUGCGGGAGAGACCGUCACAUCCUGAUGAUGCUUACAGUGGACUACACGCCGGCCCCAGCUAAGGGCCGUAGGGGGAUCGGGCCCCUCAAUUCUGGCCUGUGCUCCUCCAGCCGCCUGCCUGGCCCUGGGCCCUCACUGUGCUGCUCAUGGCUCCUGGCCAGGACCCUGCAUCGAAGCCCCUCUCCCCUGGGAGCAUGGAGGGACGGUCGCUGGUGGCACCAGGUCACUAGAUACACUGCUCCAUGGAGGGCCGCGGUCAAGCAAGUUGGAAGAGGCCCUGGAGCGCGGCCAGGCACUGUGGAGCUCAGCAUCCGGGGCCGUGACUCAGUGGGACUCUGGGCGGCUAGCCCAGUCCCCCCACACACAACCCGACCCCAGCCUCCUAAACCCUUGCGAGACCACAGUAGGAAUCAGAAACCAGGAGUCUGGGCCACACAGUAGGUACAAAAUAAAUGUUGUCUGAGGCCGUUUGGGGUCCACCCAGUGUGAGGAGCCUCCACCCUCUGGGGACAUUUCCCACCGCACCCUACCUUGGGCAUGGGAGGGUCACUGGUCGCAGGGACUUGGCCUGACUCAUCGUCUGCCUGGGGCCUUAAGUGCCCCGGGGCGGCGCUCCAGGGUGCUGCUAAUGAGCAAGUCAAAGAUCAGAAGUCCUGGUGUCCGCCUGGCAGAGGGUGUGGUUGGACAGGACAGGCCCCUCUCUGCAGAACCUGGGGCCAGGCGCGCACACACACACACACACACACACACACACCUGAGCGGUGCCUCACCCCCACUGCCACUCUGUCCCCUGAGGAAGGGGACACAUCACAAAGGCUUUGGAAGGUCUGAGCAAAGUCUAGGGGCCUGGCCCUGGCCCUGGGGCCCCGGCCCUUCCCUUCCCCAGGGCUGCGCCGCCAGCAGGCCCCCUGCACCCCCC
RNAcentral lists this long non-coding RNA (1617 nucleotides) under Canis lupus familiaris (dog). Its description in RNAcentral is "lncRNA (ENSCAFG00000053952.1, ENSCAFG00845005135.1)". Lineage: Eukaryota; Metazoa; Chordata; Mammalia; Carnivora; Canidae. The record is from RNAcentral.